GACGAACGCUGGCGGCGUGCUUAACACAUGCAAGUCGAACGGAAAGGCCCCUUUGGGGGUACUCGAGUGGCGAACGGGUGAGUAACACGUGAGUAACCUGCCCUUGACUUCGGGAUAACUUCAGGAAACUGGGGCUAAUACCGGAUAGGAAUCCUUGCUGCAUGGUGGGGGUUGGAAAGCUUCGGCGGUUUUGGAUGGACUCGCGGCUUAUCAGCUUGUUGGUGGGGUAGUGGCUUACCAAGGCUUUGACGGGUAGCCGGCCUGAGAGGGCGACCGGCCACAUUGGGACUGAGAUACGGCCCAGACACCUACGGGAGGCAGCAGUGGGGAAGAUUGAACAAUGGGCGGAAGCCUGAUGCAGCAACGCCGCGUGCGGGAUGACGGCCUUCGGGUUGUAAACCGCUUUCAGCAGGGGCGAAGCUUGUGGUGACGGUACCUGCAGAAGAAGCACCGGCUAACUACGUG
RNAcentral lists this ribosomal RNA (465 nucleotides) under uncultured bacterium. Its description in RNAcentral is "partial 16S ribosomal RNA". It matches the Rfam family "Bacterial small subunit ribosomal RNA", at positions 28 to 507 of the family's 1533-position model. The record is from RNAcentral.